Molecule: long non-coding RNA, 347 nt
Filed under: Homo sapiens (human)
Lineage: Eukaryota; Metazoa; Chordata; Mammalia; Primates; Hominidae
Description: HSALNT0167532
Source: RNAcentral
CUCCUUCCUGUCUCUCCCUCACCCCCUGCUUCUCUAAGUUAACACUUGCAGCUGAGAUUUUCUGCUACUUCCCAGUUCUCUUCCCUUGCCCUCUGUCCCUUGACCAACCUCCUCUCCUUCAGAGCCCAGCUAAGGCUCAGGACGGCAACUGCAUCUUCCUGACUCAACACUCCAUCCUGACCCAAGGGACUCCCCUUAGGUCAGCAACACUUGAGGCUGACUCAGUGCUUGGCUGGGCCCUUCCUGGGAUAGGAAUGUGUUCAUCCCCAGAGCCAGCCACACUCCACUGUCAAGGGCCCAUGCUCAAUCUGGCUGGGGUAAGGGGCUUAUCUGUGAUUGCAAUUAAG